Long non-coding RNA from Boleophthalmus pectinirostris (great blue-spotted mudskipper), 570 nucleotides. RefSeq lists it as uncharacterized. The record is from RefSeq and is a predicted model, not a curated record. The transcript has 3 exons. NCBI's taxonomy places the organism in Eukaryota, Metazoa, Chordata, Actinopteri, Gobiiformes, Gobiidae.
CUUGAAUUAAUUCAUCUAUAUUUCUAACCAAAUGUCUAGUUUUUUUUCUUAGUAUUGGUGUUUUGCUUAAAUUCGCUAAAUGUUUAAUUUAACGCACAAAAUGUUUAAAAUUACAGCGGAAACGGCGCGUCACGUGACUGUCCCGCACGGUCUCCCGCUUCGCCACGAUUUUUAAGUUCCGCAAACACAGAGACUCAUUUGUAGAUUCAUUUACAAAUUAAUGCACAGAUUUAUUUACAGAUUGAUUUGCGGACACGGCCCUCUCCAUGUUUGAUUUUAGCUCGUAAGUUUUGGCUUCGUCUGUUGGUUCUUCUUUUUUUGGACUUCUCCGCAGACUCAGGAGCCGUAAUGAACCGGACACGUGGCUCUCAGAACAGACUCAGUACUGCCCCCGGUGGAGACGCACAGAAAUCACAGAGAAAACAGCGCAAGAAGCAGAGCGACUGCGCCCUGGUGCAAGACCUGAGUCAAAUGAGCGUCAACGGACUCGAACGAAUCAGUCGUCCAGACCUUGGCGACCGGUGCCAUCACAGCUCGGGUCUGGGGCCAGUGGGUGGUGGCGGUGGUGGC